This 301-nucleotide ribosomal RNA is filed under the name uncultured bacterium. Its description in RNAcentral is "partial 16S ribosomal RNA". It matches the Rfam family "Bacterial small subunit ribosomal RNA", at positions 509 to 807 of the family's 1533-position model. The record is from RNAcentral.
CAGUCGCCGCGGUAAUACGUAGGUGGCAAGCGUUGUCCGGAAUUAUUAGGCGUAAAGGGCUCGCAGGCGGUUUCUUAAGUCUGAUGUGAAAGCCCCCGGCUCAACCGGGGAGGGUCAUUGGAAACUGGGAAACUUGAGUGCAGAAGAGGAGAGUGGAAUUCCACGUGUAGCGGUGAAAUGCGUAGAGAUGUGGAGGAACACCAGUUGCGAAGGCGACUCUCUGGUCUGUAACUGACGCUGAGGCUCGAAAGCGAGGGGAGCAAACAGGAUUAGAUACCCGCGUAGUCCCUGUCUCUUAUAC